RNAcentral lists this ribosomal RNA (367 nucleotides) under uncultured bacterium. Its description in RNAcentral is "bacterial SSU rRNA". It matches the Rfam family "Bacterial small subunit ribosomal RNA", at positions 29 to 421 of the family's 1533-position model. The record is from RNAcentral.
AACGAACGCUGGCGGCAGGCUUAACACAUGCAAGUCGAACGGUUGUAGCAAUACAGCAGUGGCAGACGGGUGAGUAACACGUGGGAACCUUCCUAGGGGUACGGAACAACUCAGGGAAACUUGAGCUAAUACCGUAUACGUCCGUGAGGAGAAAGAUUUAUCGCCCUUAGACGGGCCCGCGUAGGAUUAGGUAGUUGGUGGGGUAAUGGCCUACCAAGCCUACGAUCCUUAGCUGAUCUGAGAGGAUGAUCAGCCACACUGGGACUGAGACACGGCCCAGACUCCUACGGGAGGCAGCAGUGGGGAAUCUUGGACAAUGGGCGCAAGCCUGAUCCAGCCAUGCCGCGUGAGUGAAGAAGGCCUUCGG